AAAUUGAAGAGUUUGAUCAUGGCUCAGAUUGAACGCUGGCGGCAGGCCUAACACAUGCAAGUCGAACGGUAACAGGAAACAGCUUGCUGUUUCGCUGACGAGUGGCGGACGGGUGAGUAAUGUCUGGGAAACUGCCUGAUGGAGGGGGAUAACUACUGGAAACGGUAGCUAAUACCGCAUAACGUCGCAAGACCAAAGAGGGGGACCUUCGGGCCUCUUGCCAUCGGAUGUGCCCAGAUGGGAUUAGCUAGUAGGUGGGGUAACGGCUCACCUAGGCGACGAUCCCUAGCUGGUCUGAGAGGAUGACCAGCCACACUGGAACUGAGACACGGUCCAGACUCCUACGGGAGGCAGCAGUGGGGAAUAUUGCACAAUGGGCGCAAGCCUGAUGCAGCCAUGCCGCGUGUAUGAAGAAGGCCUUCGGGUUGUAAAGUACUUUCAGCGGGGAGGAAGGGAGUA
RNAcentral lists this ribosomal RNA (459 nucleotides) under Escherichia coli. RNAcentral's name for it is "bacterial SSU rRNA". It matches the Rfam family "Bacterial small subunit ribosomal RNA", at positions 1 to 456 of the family's 1533-position model. Lineage: Bacteria; Pseudomonadati; Pseudomonadota; Gammaproteobacteria; Enterobacterales; Enterobacteriaceae. The record is from RNAcentral.